ACUGUUGUAGCUUGAGUUUAGUAGCCUUUAUGUCCACAGUUCCAACGCAGUAUCUAUGAGUCCAAGUGAAUGCUGUUCGUUUAUUACCAAAUAAUUUAUAUAAAUGAGCAACAAUUUCUCUUCAAGGCGAGAUGAUCCUUACUGGAGCGAGAAUAAAAAGUUAUCUCUAGAUACAGAUGCACGAUUCGGCCACGGGUCUGACUAUCGUCAACAGAGCAGGUUCCUUGACUUCAGCCAUCGAGAGCGGGCCAGGUUUCCUGACACUACGUCUGUGCAGUCAUCAUCCUUUGAAAGACGGGAACGGUUUGUUGGUCAGAGCGAAGGGAAAAAACCGAGACCAGCCACCCGAAGAGAAGAGCCGAGUUUUGAAAGGUACCCUAAGAACUUCAGUGACUCCCGAAGAAACGAGCCCCCACCACCACGAAAUGAACUCAGAGAAACGGACAGGCGAGAGGUGCGAGGGGAGCGAGACGAGAGAAGAACAGUAAUUCUCCAUGACAGGCCUGAGGUCGCUCACCCCAGACACCCUCGAGAAACUGUGCCCAAUCCUUCUAGACCAACCUCCUGGAAAAGUGAAGCGAAUAUGUCCACAGAGAAACGGGAGUCAAGAGUUGAAAGGCCAGAACGGUCUGGGAGAGAAGUCUCAGGGCACACUGUGAGGGGAGCACCCCCUGGGAAUCGGAGUAGUGCCUCAGGCUAUGGAAACCGAGAGGGAGACCGAGGAGUCAUCUCUGACAGAGGAAGUGGAGCUCAGCACUACCCUGAAGAACGACAUGUUGUGGAACGUCAUGGACGGGACACAAGUGGACCAAGGAAAGAGUGGCAUGGCCCACCCUCCCAGGGGCCUAGCUACCAUGACACAAGACGAAUGGGUGAUGGCCGGACAGGAGCAGGCAUGAUAACCCAACACUCA
Molecule: long non-coding RNA, 913 nt
Filed under: Rattus norvegicus (Norway rat)
Lineage: Eukaryota; Metazoa; Chordata; Mammalia; Rodentia; Muridae
Description: long non-coding RNA NONRATT028740
Source: RNAcentral